RNAcentral lists this ribosomal RNA (572 nucleotides) under uncultured beta proteobacterium. Its description in RNAcentral is "bacterial SSU rRNA". It matches the Rfam family "Bacterial small subunit ribosomal RNA", at positions 31 to 602 of the family's 1533-position model. Lineage: Bacteria; Pseudomonadati; Pseudomonadota; Betaproteobacteria. The record is from RNAcentral.
UUACCUGGCGGAUGUUACACAUGCAAGUCGAACGGCAGCACGGACUUCGGUCUGGUGGCGAGUGGCGAACGGGUGAGUAAUAUAUCGGAACGUGCCCAGUCGUGGGGGAUAACGUAGUGAAAAUUACGCUAAUACCGCAUACGAUCUACGGAUGAAAGCGGGGGAUCGCAAGACCUCGCGCGAUUGGAGCGGCCGAUAUCAGAUUAGGUAGUUGGUGAGGUAAAGGCUCACCAAGCCAACGAUCUGUAGCUGGUCUGAGAGGACGACCAGCCACACUGGAACUGAGACACGGUCCAGACUCCUACGGGAGGCAGCAGUGGGGAAUUUUGGACAAUGGACGCAAGUCUGAUCCAGCCAUUCCGCGUGCAGGACGAAGGCCUUCGGGUUGUAAACUGCUUUUGUACAGAACGAAAAGGUUUCUAUUAAUACUAGGAGCUCAUGACGGUACUGUAAGAAUAAGCACCGGCUAACUACGUGCCAGCAGCCGCGGUAAUACGUAGGGUGCAAGCGUUAAUCGGAAUUACUGGGCGUAAAGCGUGCGCAGGCGGUUAUGUAAGACAGAGGUGAAAUCC